UACGUAGGGGGCUAGCGUUGUCCGGAAUCAUUGGGCGUAAAGCGCGUGUAGGCGGCCCGAUAAGUCCGCUGUGAAAGUCCAGGGCUCAACCCUGGGAUGCCGGUGGAUACUGUCGGGCUCGAGUCCGGAAGAGGCGAGUGGAAUUCCUGGUGUAGCGGUGAAAUGCGCAGAUAUCAGGAGGAACACCGGUGGCGAAGGCGGGUCUCUGGGCCUUACCUGACGCUCAGGUGCGAAAGCUAGGGGAGCGAACAGG
Molecule: ribosomal RNA, 253 nt
Filed under: uncultured bacterium
Lineage: Bacteria
Description: partial 16S ribosomal RNA
Rfam family: Bacterial small subunit ribosomal RNA
Source: RNAcentral